GAGUUUGAUCAUGGCUCAGGACGAACGCUGGCGGCGUGCUUAACACAUGCAAGUCGAACGAUGAAGCGGUGCUUGCACCGUGGAUUAGUGGCGAACGGGUGAGUAAUACGUGAGUGACCUACCUUUGACUCUGGGAUAAGCCUGGGAAACUGGGUCUAAUACCGGAUACGACCAAUCUCUGCAUGGGGUGUUGGUGGAAAGCGUUAUGGAGUGGUUUUAGAUGGGCUCACGGCCUAUCAGCUUGUUGGUGAGGUAAUGGCUUACCAAGGCGACGACGGGUAGCCGGCCUGAGAGGGUGACCGGCCACACUGGGACUGAGACACGGCCCAGACUCCUACGGGAGGCAGCAGUGGGGAAUAUUGCACAAUGGGCGCAAGCCUGAUGCAGCGACGCCGCGUGAGGGAUGACGGCCUUCGGGUUGUAAACCUCUGUUAGCAUCGAAGAAGCGAAAGUGACGGUAGGUGCAGAGAAAGCGCCGGCUAACUACGUGCCAGCAGCCGCGGUAAUACGUAGGGCGCGAGCGUUGUCCGGAAUUAUUGGGCGUAAAGAGCUUGUAGGCGGUUGGUCGCGUCUGCUGUGAAAGGCCGGGGCUUAACUCCGGUUUUGCAGUGGGUACGGGCUAACUAGAGUGCAGUAGGGGAGACUGGAAUUCCUGGUGUAGCGGUGGAAUGCACAGAUAUCAGGAGGAACACCGAUGGCGAAGGCAGGUCUGCUGGGCUGUAACUGACGCUGAGAAGCGAAAGCAUGGGGAGCGAACAGGAUUAGAUACCCUGGUAGUCCAUGCCGUAAACGUUGGGCACUAGGUGUGGGGGACAUUCCACGUUUUCCGCGCCGUAGCUAACGCAUUAAGUGCCCCGCAUGGGGAGUACGGCCGCAAGGCUAAAACUCAAAGGAAUUGACGGGGGCCCGCACAAGCGGCGGAGCAUGCGGAUUAAUUCGAUGCAACGCGAAGAACCUUACCAAGGCUUGACAUGCAUUAGAUCGCGUCAGAGAUGGCGUUUCCCUUCGGGGCUGGUGUACAGGUGGUGCAUGGUUGUCGUCAGCUCGUGUCGUGAGAUGUUGGGUUAAGUCCCGCAACGAGCGCAACCCUCGUUGUAUGUUGCCAGCGGUUCGGCCGGGGACUCAUAGGAGACCGCCGGGGUCAACUCGGAGGAAGGUGGGGAUGACGUCAAAUCAUCAUGCCCCUUAUGUCUUGGGCUUCACGCAUGCUACAAUGGCCGGUACAGAGGGUUGCGAUACUGUGAGGUGGAGCUAAUCCCUUAAAGCCGGUCUCAGUUCGGAUUGGGGUCUGCAACUCGACCCCAUGAAGUCGGAGUCGCUAGUAAUCGCAGAUCAGCAACGCUGCGGUGAAUACGUUCCCGGGCUUCGCACACACCGCCCGUC
This 1383-nucleotide ribosomal RNA is filed under the name uncultured bacterium. RNAcentral's name for it is "bacterial SSU rRNA". It matches the Rfam family "Bacterial small subunit ribosomal RNA". The record is from RNAcentral.